RNAcentral lists this ribosomal RNA (495 nucleotides) under uncultured bacterium. Its description in RNAcentral is "partial 16S ribosomal RNA". It matches the Rfam family "Bacterial small subunit ribosomal RNA", at positions 28 to 507 of the family's 1533-position model. The record is from RNAcentral.
GACGAACGCUGGCGGCGUGCCUAAUACAUGCAAGUAGAACGCUGAAGGAGGAGCUUGCUUCUCUGGAUGAGUUGCGAACGGGUGAGUAACGCGUAGGUAACCUGCCUGGUAGCGGGGGAUAGCUAUUGGAAACGAUAGCUAAUACCGCAUAAUAGUAGAUGUCGCAUGACAUUUGCUUAAAAGGUGCAAUUGCAUCACUACCAGAUGGACCUGCGUUGUAUUAGCUAGUUGGUGAGGUAACGGCUCACCAAGGCAACGAUACAUAGCCGACCUGAGAGGGUGAUCGGCCACACUGGGACUGAGACACGGCCCAGACUCCUACGGGAGGCAGCAGUAGGGAAUCUUCGGCAAUGGACGGAAGUCUGACCGAGCAACGCCGCGUGAGUGAAGAAGGUUUUCGGAUCGUAAAGCUCUGUUGUAAGAGAAGAACGAGUGUGAGAGUGGAAAGUUCACACUGUGACGGUAUCUUACCAGAAAGGGACGGCUAACUACGUG